This 1012-nucleotide long non-coding RNA is filed under the name Zonotrichia albicollis (white-throated sparrow). RNAcentral describes it as "lncRNA (ENSZALG00000001764.1)". Lineage: Eukaryota; Metazoa; Chordata; Aves; Passeriformes; Passerellidae. The record is from RNAcentral.
CCUGGGGACACUUUGGGGACACUUUGGGGACAUUGGAGUGGCCUUGGGGACAUGGGGACAACCCAGGGGUGGCUUUGGGGACACUUUGGGGACUUGGGGACACCCUUGGGGACACUUUGGGGACACUGGGACAUGGCUGGGGACACCGGGAGGGACACAGGGACAGCCUGAGGAUGGAUUUGGGGACACCAGAAAGGACAUGGGGACAUCCUUGGGGACAUUGGGACACCCUUGGGGACACUGGGAGGAACCUGGGGACACCCCUGGGGACGUGGGGACACGUUUGGGGACACCAGGAGGGACCUGGGGACACUGGAAGGGAUUUGGGGACAUCAUUGGGGACAUGGGGACAUCCCUGGGGACACUGGGAUGGGACCUGGGGACAUUCCUGGGGACACUGGGAUGUUUUGGGGACACUGGGACAUCCCUGGGGACAACCUUGGGGACACUGGGAGGGGCUUGGGGACAUCAUUGGGGACACUGGAAUGGCCUUGGGGACACCGGGAGGGACCUGGGGACAUCCCAGGGGACACUGGGAUCAACUGGAGGACACUGGAAGGGAUUUGGGGACAUCAUUGGGGACACCGAGAGGGACAUGGGGACACCCUUGGGGACAUUCCUGGGGACAUGGGGACAAUACUGGGGACACCGGGAGGGACCUGGGGACAACCUGGGGACACUGGGAGGGGCUUGGGGACAUCAUUGGGGACAGUGGGACAUGGCUGGGGACACCAGGAGGGACACAGGGACAGCCUGAGGAUGGAUUUGGGGACACCUGGAGGGACAUGGGGACACCCUUGGGGACACUGGGAUGGGCAUGGGGACAUCAUUGGGGACACCAGGAGGGACUUGGGGACACCCAUGGGGACAUUCCUGGGGACAUGGGGACAAUACUGAGGACACUGGGAGGGACUUGGGGACACUGGAAUGGCCUUGGGGACACUUUGGGGACAUUGGAGUGGCCUUGGGGACAUGGGGACAACCCAGGGGUUGCUUUGGGGACACUGGGGAC